RNAcentral lists this ribosomal RNA (426 nucleotides) under uncultured bacterium. RNAcentral describes it as "bacterial SSU rRNA". It matches the Rfam family "Bacterial small subunit ribosomal RNA", at positions 356 to 773 of the family's 1533-position model. The record is from RNAcentral.
AGGGAAUUUUCCGCAAUGGGCGAAAGCCUGACGGAGCAACGCCGCGUGAGUGAGGACGGCCUUCGGGUUGUAAAACUCUGUUCUUGAGGAAGAAUUCCUUCCAGGCGAACAGCCUGGAAGGUUGACGGUACUCAAGGAGAAAGCCCCGGCUAACUACGUGCCAGCAGCCGCGGUAAUACGUAGGGGGCGAGCGUUAUCCGGAAUUAUUGGGCGUAAAGCGCGCGCAGGCGGCUGAUUAAGGCAGGGGUGAAAGGCUGCGGCUCAACCGCAGAGCGGCACCUGAAACUGGUCAGCUGGAGUGCAGGAGAGGGGAGCGGAAUUCCCGGUGUAGCGGUGGAAUGCGUAGAGAUCGGGAGGAACACCAGUGGCGAAGGCGGCUCUCUGGCCUGUAACUGACGCUGAGGCGCGAAAGCGUGGGGAGCAAAC